This 435-nucleotide long non-coding RNA is filed under the name Numida meleagris (helmeted guineafowl). RNAcentral describes it as "lncRNA (ENSNMEG00000005672.1)". Lineage: Eukaryota; Metazoa; Chordata; Aves; Galliformes; Numididae. The record is from RNAcentral.
UCCAACUUACUUCAACAUGACAGAGCGGAGAGGGUAUGCAGUACAUUCACAGGAUAAUUGACUGCAACAGGAAAUAAACACUCUAAGUCUCCCUUCAUAUCAAAUAUAAUUCAAAAGUUAAGUGACUACUGAUGUACCCUUACAAAAGUAUUACCAGAGAGGUGAAUAACAUGAUCUCAGCAAGGUGUUAAACACCAAGUUUGAGAGUGAAGGCCUGACUGUGUAUUGUAACACUGCUGUUGAUUCAGCCCUGAUGUUCCACUGUUUGAAGUUGCAUCAAGAGACCUGAUCAGUGAAAAAUAUAGAACAAAUAAUAGGAAGCAGUCCCUGAGGAAGGAAUCAUAUAACUAAACCUUAGUGAUUAUAUCAUUCUUUUCAUAAGCCAUGUCACAAGUCUCAAAUGUCUGGUAAAUAAAUGUUAACUUCUAAAUUUCA